CCACAAUGGCAGGAGACACCAUGAGAUGUUUUCUACUGUAGAAACUUUCUCAUUAGAAAUAGCCCAUUUAUACAGGGGACUGGCUAAUGUUUUUCUAUGAGUAUCAUUAGCCAGUGUCUCAAAGUGGUGAAGAGUAAGUAUAUAGCAUCUUUCAAAAGACUGCAACCUGGAACAAGGAGAGACAAAGGGAAGGAGGAGUCUGGAGCCAUAUUGAAGAUGAAAUUGAGAUAUGGACUAGGUGGUGGAUCGUUUUUAUAAGAGGACAUAAAAGAGGAUGCUAAAGCUAAUUGCCACAAUCAGAACUCAAAGACCUAGCAAAUGCAAGACACUGGCCACCUCCCUGAACCUGGGCCAAGAUGAGGGUCUACACCUUGGCUUAGUUCUACUAUGAAAGACUUUCCUGCAGUAAAAGUUACCUGUCUGAAACAUUCAGAAGAGUGAAAAUGCCACAUCUCCAAUUUCCAGCAAUAUAUUUGUCUGCCAUGAUUUGGCCUGGAAGCUUAAGCAGGAAGACCACUUGGAGCCAGACUUCAGAGUGAUCUGUCUCUAAGGAAUAACUUUCAUAUUGCAGCGUUCGGUUUUGCAAUUCUUCCUAAGCUACUCUAAAUUCGCAGCAUAAAUCUGCAGAAAGACUUCACCCUCCACAUCAAACCCUUAUAAGGAUCCAUUUCUGCUCUCAUUUUAGAAUAUCUUUUCUAAUAGCUAAAGGCAGACAGAGGCAAACCAAGAAAUCCAGACUUUGCAUCAACGGGUUAAAUCAUAUGUCAAAGGUGCAACCAUAACGUAUUACAAGCUUCUCAUCACAUAAUACAUCACUCAAGAAAAAAUAUUUGGGCAGCUUUUCUAAUUCAUCUUCCUGGUGUUAAAGGAGCACAUCUCCAGUGUUCGUGUCUUCUGUUUCAAUUAAAGCAAUCAUGCCUACUCUUUUAGGAAACUA
Molecule: long non-coding RNA, 937 nt
Filed under: Homo sapiens (human)
Lineage: Eukaryota; Metazoa; Chordata; Mammalia; Primates; Hominidae
Description: novel transcript
Source: RNAcentral